Zeugodacus cucurbitae (melon fly) is the source of this 306-nucleotide long non-coding RNA. RefSeq lists it as uncharacterized. Lineage: Eukaryota; Metazoa; Arthropoda; Insecta; Diptera; Tephritidae. The record is from RefSeq and is a predicted model, not a curated record. The transcript is spliced from 2 exons.
UAAAAACUGAAGUUCGGUGGUACUAUGGAACAUAGGGUGACACAUGUAAAAAAAUACAAACUGAAUUCGAUCAAACAGCUGUGUGACGCGACAAUAAAUAUAAAUAAAAAAAUGCUGUUUUUGCAAAAACAAAUAACAUCGUGCUAGCACAUUAACAGUCAUGUGAGGAAUACUUACACUAUACACAUGUAUAUUUAAAAUAUAAAAUCACCAAAAUUAAAAGAAUUUGACGCCAAAACUGUCAUCUAAUUGCACCACCUCACACUUGCCUUUAUUUUCGAGUGUCCGAAACGCAUUUAGUAGUAC